UACGAAGGGGGCUAGCGUUGCUCGGAAUCACUGGGCGUAAAGCGCACGUAGGCGGAUCUUUAAGUCAGGGGUGAAAUCCCAAGGCUCAACCUUGGAACUGCCUUUGAUACUGGGGGAUUCUCGAAGUCCGGAAGAGGUUGGUGGAACUGCGAGUGUAGAGGUAGAAAUUCGUAGAUAUUCGCAAGAACACCAGUGGCGAAGGCGGCCAACUGGUCCGGUACUGACGCUGAGGUGCGAAAGCGUGGGAAGCAAACAGG
Molecule: ribosomal RNA, 257 nt
Filed under: uncultured bacterium
Lineage: Bacteria
Description: partial 16S ribosomal RNA
Rfam family: Bacterial small subunit ribosomal RNA
Source: RNAcentral